GGAGCUUGUUGUUUGUGUCUCUGUGUGAAGAAACUACAGAUGAUGGAAGAACCUAAAGAACAGCCAGUCAAAGCAGCUCCAUCAGCAGCUACAUUCACCCUGGAGAGAAACUAGUGAGGGAGACCAUCAGGACCAAGCUGGGUUUCCUGGGUCCAGAGGUUUGGAGAAACUUCUUCCUUUUCUUUCAUCACAGCUGUCCUGUGCCAGAAGUUCUGUUGACCCACUGAAAGAGGCAUCAUUUAAGAAACACCAGGAAGACUGAAGCCCAUCGCAUUGAUCAAGCAGGACUCAUGAUCUUCACCAGCAGCUCCCUCACAGGGAAAUCUUCAGCACUCCUCUGUAGGCCCGCCCCAGGAGAUGGAUAAACCCAGCAUUUCAUGAACACUGUG
Molecule: long non-coding RNA, 389 nt
Organism: Oreochromis aureus
Lineage: Eukaryota; Metazoa; Chordata; Actinopteri; Cichliformes; Cichlidae
Source: Ensembl